UUGGCGUGUUUCUCAGCAGGAGUUUGGGCCAGUCCGGGACUUAAGUUCAUCACGUACUGUUCUUUAUUGCGCGUGCGUAUAAAAAAAAAAUUAAUUUAUAUUAAUAAUUAUUACAAUAUACAAAAAAAAAACAUUAUUUAUAAAAUUUUUUCUUGUUUUAUUAAAAACACAAAAUGGCUACUUCCUGAAGACUGUUAAUUGUUAUUGCUCAUUAGUAUUUUUUAAAAAUUGUUACUUGUUUUUGUUAAUUAAUUGUGAAGUGUGAAAUAUGUUUUUUUUUAAUUUUUUUUGAAAAAAAAAAUAGUGUUUUGUGAAAAUUUCAAAUAUUAUUUUGCACCCACUCAACUCAUCCUUGGAUCGAAAAUUUUAUAAUUUAUUGGUGACCUUCAAAAAUCCACAGGUAUUCGUGGGAAAUAAAAAAAAAUUUGGAAAAAUAAUAAAUAAAGAGAAGAAGCUUCUUCGAUGAGGUCGAAAGAAAGAUCAAAUUUUAACGAGCCAAACGUAAAAGAACGUCAAUUUGAAGAUAAAAAAUAAAAAAAAAAAAUUAAAUUGGCCGGCAUUGAACAGUCAAGUUGCUGUGGUUUGAGUUUAACGGUAUAUAACUGAAACAUUGGUAUACUUUUUGAUACCACAGUUAUUAAACUUGUCCAUAAAAUCGAUUGAAUACCUCUUUUUUUAUUUUAUUUAUUUAUUUAUUUAUUGAAUUUUUCAUUUCAAAUAUUUUUUAAAAUGAUACAAAGAUAUGUAAUCUGGUUUUUAGUCAUAAUAAAAUUGACAUUUAUUUUUGACAAUGUACAUGGACACGUUGCACUAACAUUUCCACAAGCCAGAAAAUACGAUAUUGAUUUUCUUGAUAAUGCCAGAACACCUGGACCAUGUGGAAUGCCAAAAGGUGACAUAAAGACGAGUCUACUUGCUGGAAGUAAAUUCAAUAUCACUUGGCAUUUGGCAUAUCCUCAUCAGGGAGGUUUUCGAUUGCAAAUUCUUGAUGCAUUGGACAGGCCUUUGGUUGACUUGACACCAGUGACACAACAAAGUGAAUUUGUUUCUGACGACGCAACGGCACAGUAUUAUCCAGUUGAGUUGCCGCAAAAUUUCACCUGUAUUGAUUGUACAGUAAGACUGCUUCGUGAAGCUGCAGAAUGGGGAUCAAGCUACAGAUUUUGGUCAUGUUCAGAUGUCGAUAUUGUUGAGAAGAAAUUAUACAGAGAAACUUGUAGUGGUCAUGGAAGAUAUUUACUUGGUCGAUGUAAAUGUGAUGCAUUGUAUCAUGGUUCAAGAUGUGAAUAUCAUGAAGAAUGCAUGUCUAAUUCUGAUUGUGGUGAUCAGGGUAAAUGCAUUGACAAUGGUGGUACUACAUCACCAACAAAACAUUGUUAUUGCAACAAUGGAUGGUUUGGUCGUCGUUGUAACAAACUAUCACCAAUUAAAUCAACAACAGUUGAUUUUGAUAGUUACAGUGUAAAACAUUUUUCAAAUGAUUUUACAUUUUAUUGGCGUAUACUUGAGGAUAUUAAAGAGUUAGAAGGUGUUAUGGUUGUUAAUGGUACAUCAUGGGUUGGUAUUGGCUGGCGUUCGAGUAAUUUAUCAAGUGAAUGUCGUUCAUUUCCUGAUAUAACUGAUAAAAAAAUUAAAAUUGAAAUGUUACCACAACCAGAGCCAAAAUCUGAACCUGAAAUAAAUGCUCAUGUGUCUAGUAAUGGAGAACCUACACCAGAGAUAUCAGCUGAUAGACAAAAGUCAGAAGUUGGAUCACCAGAACCAGAACCAAGUAAACCAGAGCCAGAAACAAGUGUACCAGAACCAGAAAAUGGCAAACCAGAACCAUCAAAAUCAGCAGCCAAAAGACGAUCAGCAAAACCACAUACAGAUGUUGAUGUUCCAACUGUUAUUGACACUGAUACUAAAGUACAUACUAGUGUUACUUAUCAAAUAACUGCAAAACAAGGACGUAAAAAAAGAUCUCCAGAACCCGCAUCAUCUGAGCCAACUGGUGAGCCCACGAGUGAGCCGGAACAACCAAUAUCAAAACCAAAAUCCUUUAAGCCUAAGGCUACAAGGCCAAAGUUUCCAAGGCCUUCUAACCCUGCACCCUCAACUCCUGAACCUUUGAGCCCUGAACCUGAACCAAAAGGUGAACCUGUUUCUCCUGAACUUGAACCAAAAAGUGAACCUAUUUCUCCUGAACCUGAACCAAAAGGUGAACCUAUUUCUCCUGAACCUGAACUAAAAGGUGAACCUAUUUCUCCUGAACCUGAACCAAAAGGUGAACCUACUGCUCCAGAACCUGAACCAAAAGGUGAACCUAUUUCUCCUGAACCUGAACCAAAAGGUGAACCUAUUUCUCCCGAACCUGAACCAAAAGGUGAACCUAUUUCUCCCGAACCUGAACCAAAAGGUGAACCUAUUUCUCCUGAACCUGAACCAAAAGGUGAACCUACUGCUCCAGAACCUGAACCAAAAGGAGAACCUAUUGCUCCUGAACCUAAAACAAAAAGUAGACUUACUGCUUCUAAACCUAUAGCUCCUGAACCUGAACCAAAAGGUGAGCCUACUUUUCCUGAACCUGAACCAAAAAGUGAGCCUUCUGCUCCUGAGCCUGAAGCAAAAUCUGAGCCUUCUGCUCCCGAACCAGAAGCAAAAUCUGAGCCUUCUGCUCCUGAACCAGAAGUAAAAUCUGAGCCUUCUGCUCCUGAACCAGAAUCAAAAUCUGAACCUAUUUCACCUGAACCUGAAUCAAAAUCUGAACCUAUUUCUCCUGAACCCGAGGCAAAUCCUGAGCCUGAAGGAAUAUCAGAAUUCGGAAAAGCGGUUACUACGAAAGCUGGAUCAUCGCACAAUAAAUACACUCCCAAACAUGAUUUCCAUUCAAUGGAUUGUACAGACAUGAUAAUUGGUUCAGCAAGAGGUAAUACUCAUAGAAUUGGUGAUUAUUAUACUCGUGAUCGUUCAACACCACGUUUCGAUGAUUUUUGGGGUGGUAAAGAAAGUUUAACUGGUGCAAUGGGAUAUGAAAAAGAUGGUGUUACAACAAUAUUAUUCAGACGUAAAUUAUCAACAAAUGAUUUAACUGAUCAUGAUAUAGUCAAUGAUAAUAUGCAUGUUAUUUGGGCGAAAGGCCAAGAACCAGGUAAAUAUCAACAUCGUCCAUCAAGUGGAAUUGAAAAAGGUAAUGCAAAUAUUAAAGAUUUCUACAAACAAGAUGAGCUUAAAUAUCAUGGACAUAAUUCACAAAGAGGUGUUGAAUCAAUAAACUUUUUUGAUGAAAAAAAUAAAGAAAAAUUUGGUGGUGAUAAAGAAGAAGAAGCAAUUAAAAAAAAAUGUAGUGGUGAAUGGAGAUAUCCAAGACACUGUUCAAUUGAAAAUGCCACCUGUGAUUAUUACAUUGAAUGGACCUACAAAACACGAAAGGAUGAAGUGACCUUCAUAAUUGUUACAAAGGAAUCAAAUACUUGGACAGGUGUUGGUUUUUCAAAUGACAGAAAAAUGUCACAAACAGAUGCUAUUAUUGGAUGGAUUGAUAAAUCAUCUGGUAUGCCAUUUUUAAUGGACACAUGGAUAAGUGGUUAUACAUCUCCAGUACUUGAUGGAUCACAAGAUACAGUUAAUCACAGUGGUAAAAGUGAAAAUGGAAUUUCAACAAUUAAAUUUACACGUAAAAGAAUAAGUCGUGAUACUAAAGAUUUAUCAUUUACUGAUGAUCAUUGUUUAUACAUGAUGUUCCCAGUAAAAGGUGGUGAAUAUAAUCAAGUUAAUAAAAAAAUUAAAAAACAUGCAAGUAUAUUUGUAUCAUCAAAAAAAGUAUGCAUCAGAUCAUGUGGAAUUGAUGAUGAUGAAGAAGAUAAUGAAAUUGAAAGAAAAUUAUCAAAUCAACUUUAUUAUGAUAUUGAAGUUAAAUUAUUAAAUUUACCAAAUGGUUUUAAAGAACCACAACCAGGUACACAAGAUUUUGAUGAUAUAUCAAAAAAACUUUCAUACACAUUUGGUCCAGCAUUGAAUAAUCUUCCUGGUUAUUCGAUGAUUAAAUUGAGUGACCUACAAAGAAAUGGUGAAAACAGUGUCAUUGCAAAAAUGAGUUUAAUCUUGGAUAAAAAUGAGGCAAAAUUACGAGCAUUAAGACCAAACGAUACAGUUGCUAGUGCUGAAAUUGCAUUGAAACAAGCAAUUUUAAAUGGAAGAGUUGGUUCACUCACUGUAGAUCCACAAUAUCUUGUUGUACGAGCACCUCUUUUAAACGAGUUGUCUGAUGACUUUGAGAAUGGAAUAGGAGGAUCAAAGAACCUUUUGCUUGGUGAAACGAAGCUGUAUAUUGUCGCUGGAUGUGUCGCUGCUUUAGUUGCUAUAGCUUUGUUACAGGCAACUUGUACAGUGUACAAAGCCACAAGAAAACGCACGACAAAGAGGGUAUACUCGCUGCCUUUGGUUACUACUCCUACUUCUGCCAAUCCAAUUCAUCGUUCAUCCGCGACUCGUUAUCAUCGACAAAAUGACAAUGGUCACCAUCAUCAUCAUCAUCAUCAUCACCAUCCUCAUCAACAACAACAUCAACAACAGCAACCACAGCAACAGCAACAUAAUGGUCGUCAUCAUCAACAACAUCUUCCUCCAAAUAUGCAUCGACCAAACCAAAAUAAUAAUUGGUAGUCCAUAAAAAAAUAUUCCCAUUAUUCAAUGUCACAAUUAUAAUUUAUAUAUUAUCAUUUCUAUACCAUUGAACUAAAAAAAACAAAAAAAAGCCGGAGCGUUUGAUUGGAAAUAAUGCAUGGCGUGAUUAUACAACUGGUGCAAAUACAAAUUUUGCAUUUGAAGGAUUUGAAACUGAAGAAAAAGCAC
Molecule: unclassified non-coding RNA, 4833 nt
Filed under: Aphidius gifuensis
Lineage: Eukaryota; Metazoa; Arthropoda; Insecta; Hymenoptera; Braconidae
Description: uncharacterized LOC122849534, transcript variant X2
Source: RNAcentral